Molecule: long non-coding RNA, 3380 nt
Organism: Beta vulgaris subsp. vulgaris (sugar beet)
Lineage: Eukaryota; Viridiplantae; Streptophyta; Magnoliopsida; Caryophyllales; Amaranthaceae
Exons: 2
Source: RefSeq, a predicted model, not a curated record
UAGAAGUUAGACAAGGAAAAAAUAAGUGAAUUUAAUUUUUACUUUUCGGUUACAAUUUUGGGAUCAUGGAUCAAAUUUUACCCCUGCUAAUACCUAAAAACGGUAAAAUUUGUGUUUUAAAAAAAAUGAGGCACGCAUCAUGGAGAAAGGCUUGGUAACCAACGGUUUGAGUCCAAAAAAGACUCAAACACUCAAAAUAAAACACAAUGGUACCAUUAUAACCUGACGUUGGUAUCAAAUUGUUAUCAGGACUGGUACCAAGGUAUCAAUAUUUUCGGAGAAUGGUACCAUUAUAACCUAGCAUGGGUAUCAAGCAAUUGUCAGCCACACGCGAGUAAAAUCUUCCAACGCAUAAAAUGACCAAAUUACUCCCGUUUGAGUCCCCUAAGAGACUCAAACGGUUGGUUGCCAAGACAAACUCCGCAUCAUGUGCGUAAAUUGCUAGUUCCAUCUAGCGUCCACUGACCAUACCACUACGCCUCAGGUGUUUAUAAAGCAAGCUGUUUUGUCUGUUUCAAGAAUGCUAUUUUCCACUAUGCAAAUUACUUUAUGAUUAUGACAUGACAUGACAUCCUUGCAUUAAAGAAAGUAUUUUCCACUGUAAUUCGAGAAAGUAUCCAAGGACUGAUCAUGAUCGCUUGGAGUUGAUUGGCAUAUGUUUAGAGAUGAAAACGGUAGGAUCUGUUUGUGACACCUAAUUAUCAUAACUUAUGGCAAUCAAUCCUGAUUACAACUCAUAAAUUUACUCCUUUUUUCUAUUGAGAGGUGAGUCACAUCUACAAUAUGAAUGCAAAAUUUGGAAAUCAGAUCUAUUUGAAUAUAAGAUGGUUUAAUUAAUAUCUCUUGUAUAGCUAUUUUCUCAGAAUUCUUCUCGAGGGGCUAACUAUAUUAAUAGCUGAUUUAAGGUAGUUGCUAACUUGCUACUACAUUUUUGAAAAAAAGGUUUUCUAGCAAUUGAUGGGUGAACAUACUAGGGUUGUUAUUUAUUUAGAGUUCUCGCUGUUCUUUGAGGAAUGAGAUUUUCAAAGCUCACUUCUUGUCUCGGGAGAUGUCUCGAAUUAUUAACCAAUAUGUAUUUGAAGUUUUAGAUCAAAAACUUGAGUGAAGUGAUUUUCCAAUUCCCUUUAAAUAACCGAUGCAAUUCAAUGGUGUAGUAGUGUUAACUAUGGAGCCAUGGAGGUGAUAAAGAUUUGAAGAACUUAUUUUUGAUAUAAGAGAACUGUAAAGUAGGACACACUAUUAUUAACAUUAGUUUAAUGAUUAUUAAUAUACUUCCCCCAUUCCUUUUUCCUUGCAACGUAUCUAAUCACAAAAUGCUACAUCUCUCUCCUCAAUCCUCACCUCCUCAAACCCCCUGCCAUGGCUGCCAACUCCCUACCCCAUCAACAACCUCCACCAUCAUCGCCACCCCAUCAACAACCUCCACCACCACCUUAGUUUUUCGACGGCAACCAUUUUUUCCGACGCUUUCGUUUUUGAUAACCUGCAUCUCCGUUUGCUCAAGUCUCCCACAUUAUGGUCGUAUUCGACCAUUAAAAGCUCCAAAUCUUGAACUUUUAUGGUUAAAUUCGGCCAUCAAAGCUCCGAAAAAUGGUUCGAAUUUUGUUGUUUUCGGUGAUUUUCUCUCCUCCCUCUUCUCUCACCAUGGCCAACGAAAUCGAAGUUUUUAGUAGCGCCAGUUUUAAAUGGAUUGGUUGAAGUUAUGACUUGGUUAGUGGGGGCGAGAGAGAUUGCGUCGGUUAAGUGUUUAACAGUGUCGGCAUAAAUGUCGGAUGAAAACGCGGCGUUUCCUUUGGCUUUUGCUUCGUCUGCCAUUGAAGAGAGAUAGAGAGGGGGAGAUAGGAAGACGAGAGAGUUUGCUUUAUGGGGAAGGUGAAGGGGUUCUUGUUGCGGUCGUGGUCGAGUGGUAGUGUAGGCUGAGUGCGAUGGUGGCGGUAGCUGGGUAUGGGAGGGUACGACGAGCCAAAAUAAUGUAAUUGGUGAUGGUGGCGAUUUGUUUCAUUGUAUGGCUAAGAGCCUAAGAUUAGAGUUUGAGAUAUGUAAUUAACUUGGGUAAGUGAUGGGAGUACAAUCCCUUUCACCUUCUCUCAUCUUUCUUAAAAUUGUUCGACUCGUAAGUUGCAAGUAAAAAAAAAUCGAGGAAGUAUUUAUUUAUAUUUAAUUGUUUUAAAAACAGAAAUAUUAUUUUGUCUUCAAACAAUUAAUUUUCCUACAAAAAGCAACAUGAGAUUGUAGACUAGUUGGUUAAUGCAUUUGUAAUUUGAAUGAGAGGUUAUGGGUACAAAUUCAAUAUUCUAAAAGUAUAUAUACGGAGAUGAAUCUAACAAUAAAUAGUUGGUGGUGAGUAAAUAGUGUAAAAAUUCAAAUAUUGUAAUAAAAAAAGAACGAAAAAGUGGUGCAUAACAGGAAGGUAUGAUCUUUUAUUCCAUCCAGGCCUCAACUUAGCCUUUAGGUGCUUUAUAAACCAAGCUGUUUUUGUUUGUUUCUAAUAAUUUCUGCAAGAACACUAUUUUCUGCUAUGCAAAUUUCUUUCGAGAAUUGUUAAAUAUCGUCCCACAAUUACUUAAAAUCUUUCCGGGAUCAUCAAACAUUUUCAACUUUACACUUCCCUUUUUUUCUUUUCCAUAGCCACACCUCCAAUCACACGACCACCACCGAGGCCACGUACACCACCAACUAAACCACACACAACCACCAACAAAACUAAAAAAAAAAAAUCAGUCGUGUCCACCGCGGAAACGCCCGGCCUACACGUUUCCGCUAAGGUGGAAAUGUCUUCCUUGGACGUUUCCGCCAAGGUGGAAACGUCUUUUGUGGACGUUUCCACCAAGCGUCUGCCCUAGACGUUUCCGCCAAGGUGGAAACGUCCCAGGCCGAAUGUUUCGGCAGUGAACGCGACUGUAUUUUUUUUGGGUUUUUGCGACUUGCUCGUGGUGGCUUGCACGGGGAUGGGGGAUGCUGGUGGGGGUGGGGGAGGGUGGGGGUGUUGGUGGGUGGUGGUGGCAGGCUAUGCAGCACAGGUACUUCUCCGGGGUGUCGAUUCCCGUACCGGGGACGGGGAUUUUACGGGUACGUCAGAAAUACGUCCCCGGCGCGUCUCUAAAUAAUGGGGACGGUGAGCCAUGUGGGGACGACUAGGGUUUCUUGACGGGGACGUCUUGGGGACGGUUGAAGUAACUUUAGAGGCAUCCCCUUGCUUUUCCAGCAAACAAAGCACCAGCAGCUACGAUGGCAUUAGAGAAGGAUGAACUCGUGAGUCUCAGUUGUAUUUGAGUUUGAGAGAGGGGAAAAGAGAGAGGAGAGAGGGGUAAGUAAUAGUUGUUGGAUGUAUCACGUGAUUUCAUUUAAACAAAAGUACUCAUAGUUGUUGGUUGUUGCCA